AAGCAACACAACAAGUAGCCACAUCGCGCUUCGCUGGGCUUGAAGAGAGCUACAAGGUACGUAGUGACUAGCGGUCACGAGCGCGCGCCCAUGGCUUCCACGUCGACGAGCUUCGUGGCCAUGGCGCUCGUCAUGGCCGUCAUGCUCAGCACGUGCCAUGCCGCGCGCCUCCUCGCCGACGUUCCGGCCUUGCCCACACCGAUGCUGCCCCCCGUGCCCGUCGUCCCUACAGUCCCCGCCCUGCCAGGCGGCGUCGUUCCCACGGUGCCCACCGUGCCGAACGUCCCGACGGUUCCCACCGUGCCAGGCGUCCCGAAGGUGCCGACAGUUCCCACCGUGCCCGGCGUGCCGACGGUGCCCACCGUGCCAGGUGUGCCGACGGUUCCAGUACCUGGCGCCGCCCUGCCGACCAUCCCGGCGGUUCCCACCGUGCCAGGCGUGCCGACUGUGCCGGUACCUGGCGCCGUCGUGCCGACAGUGCCCACUGCGCCGAGCGUGCCGACGGUUCCCACGGUGCCACGCGUUCCGACGUUGCCUAUGCCGUCCGUCCCCGGCGUGCCUACCUUGCCGCUGCCGCCUAUGCCGUCCAUCCCCGACCUGCCCAAGGUGCCACUGCCUCCGAUGCCGUCCGUCCCUGGCGUGCCCAAGGUGCCACUGCCGCCGGUGCCGUCUGUUCCCGGUGUGCCGGCCGUGCCAUAGUUCCUUGCACCUCCACCGUCGACGGACCAGACGUACGUACGUGCCCACAUGCACGAUUUACGAGUGUAAUAAAACUGUAACGUCCAACCACCAUAUGGUUACUUUAACUUGGUAGUAUUUGUUUGAGCAGCACUUGUGUCUACGUGUGCAAGUAAAAAAGAAGUACACCCGCUUGUGUACGUGUGUGGUAUAUCUUUUCGAUGGGUGCGUGUGGUGUGGAACUGUGGAUGUGUGUACUGUAUGCUUGUACGUUUAUGUGGUUCAAGACAUUGUUUGUGUAGGAAAAGGGGUAUUGCUCCAUUUAUACGUGUGCCACUGUAUAAUAUUAGUUUCAUUUGUAUCUAUAUAUACACUAUUCAUGUA
This is an RNA transcript of Triticum aestivum (bread wheat), 1062 nucleotides long. It is a transcript of the gene named DBF4-type zinc finger-containing protein 2 homolog, with no coding region annotated. NCBI's taxonomy places the organism in Eukaryota, Viridiplantae, Streptophyta, Magnoliopsida, Poales, Poaceae. The record is from RefSeq and is a predicted model, not a curated record. The transcript has a single exon.